RNAcentral lists this long non-coding RNA (1233 nucleotides) under Salmo salar (Atlantic salmon). RNAcentral's name for it is "lncRNA (ENSSSAG00000085090.1)". Lineage: Eukaryota; Metazoa; Chordata; Actinopteri; Salmoniformes; Salmonidae. The record is from RNAcentral.
CGUCACUUCAUUAUUGGCUGCACCUGCGCAAUCAUGUGACGCGAUACAUUUUUUCAAAGACGUUUUUCAAGACACAGGAGAGGUCGGGUUGAAACAUUACUGAUGUUUCACGUUAAAAAUGGCUCUAAAGAUUGAUGCUAAACAACGUUUGACAUGUUUGAACAAUGUAAAUAGAUUAUUUUUUUUACUUUUCGCCGUGACUCCCCCCCGCUACUUUUUAGUAGCCUACCGAAGCGCUAACAACAUGGAACAACUUGGAGUUAUUUGGACAUCAAUUAUGAACUUUGUUGAAAGAAACCACAUUUGCAGUGGACCUGGGAUGCGUGGAAUUGCCAAUGGAUGAAGAGAAUCAAAGAUAUUCUAAAAGUGGAGGACAUCGAAUUUUCAGGAUUGUGGUCAUUGGUAACCUGAGCCGAGCAGGACAGUCAUCACACAAUACUUUGGCAGAAGUGCACCGCGCAGAAUCACCCCGGCCCGAGAAGGGUGACUGGUCUGAAAAAGAUUGGAUUCAAGAACAUGCUCUCUGUUAUGGAUACGACUCCAACGAUAGCUAUACAAGCCAAGCAGAAUCUACAAAGCCAGAGGACAUUGGGAAAGGACCCGCAUUAUCCAGGAUUCCUCAGAACAGCAGGCGCCAAAAAAAACAGAGGAUGGCUUCCUGAAAUUCCCCCAAGCAGCUGAUUGGUCGGCCCCCAUUGCUAAUUGGAGAGCUGACCACGCCCCCUCGUCAGGACACAGCUGUAUCCCAUUACAGACUCCUUCUCCAGCUAUAUAAGCCAGUGUUCUGUUGCUCAGAAGAGAGCUGAGGGUUAUAUCCUGGGUUGGUUGUUUCUCAGAUAGAGAUGAGUGUGUCCUGCGCUGGUUAUUGCUGAGAGACAGGUUUUUGUUAAGUACUUUGUAGCCGCUGCUUCUAAGGUAUGUGUGUCCCCAUAGGAGGCAGUGUUUUUGAUUAUUGAAAUAGUUUGUAUUAUUCUGUUUCAUUUGUUCCCAGGGGGGAAGGGGAAGGCACCUGGGGAGUGCUUAGGCAAGAGGCCCGCGGGCAUACAUAACCCAUAGUAUUCACUGUCUAUGCCUACUAGGUCAGACCUGGGCGGACCACCCCCUGUAUUUUGGUUAGUGCACCAGGUGGUGCUAGUUAGGUAAGUAGUGGGUAGGCAGGUAAGGUAGGAGAGGGGGCUUUGACAUUUACUUUCUUUGCUUUGGUUCCGUCCAGCCCCUUUUCCCCAAAUUUAC